GAUGAAGAACGCAGCGAAAUGCGAUAAGUAAUGUGAAUUGCAGAAUUCAGUGAAUCAUCGAAUCUUUGAACGCACCUUGCGCUCCUUGGUAUUCCGAGGAGCAUGCCUGUUUGAGUGUCAUUAAAUUCUCAACCAUUAUCAACUUUUGCUGAUAAUGGCUUGGAUGUGGGGGUCUAUUUUGCUGGCUUCUCAGAUAGUCAGCUUCCCUUAAAUGCAUUAGCCGGUGCCCCGCGUGGACUGUCUAUUGGUGUGAUAAUUAUCUACGCUAUAGACAUCUGCAAUCAUAUGGGUUUGCGCUGCUUCUAACAGUCUGUUGAUUCAGACAAUACAUGACAAUUUGACCUCAAAUCAGGUAGGACUACCCGCUGAACUUAAGCAUAUCAAUAAGCGGAGGA
This 395-nucleotide unclassified non-coding RNA is filed under the name soil metagenome. RNAcentral's name for it is "partial contains 5.8S ribosomal RNA, internal transcribed spacer 2, and large subunit ribosomal RNA". The stretch from base 1 to 120 matches the Rfam family "5.8S ribosomal RNA", at positions 35 to 154 of the family's 154-position model. The record is from RNAcentral.